AUUGAACGCUGGCGGCAUGCCUAACACAUGCAAGUCGAACGGUAACAGGCCCUUCGGGUGCUGACGAGUGGCGGAUGGGUGAGUAAUACUUAGGAAUCUACCCUGUAGUGGGGGACGAACCCGGGGAAACGUACGGGCGUAAUACCGCAUACACUCUACGGAGGGAAAGCGGGGACCGGCAAGGCCUCGCGCUAUUGGAUGAGCCUAAGCCCGACUUAGCUAGUUGGUGGGGUAAGUAGCCUACCAAGGCAGUGAUCGGUAGCUGGUCUGAGAGGACGACCAGCCACACUGGGA
RNAcentral lists this ribosomal RNA (294 nucleotides) under uncultured bacterium. RNAcentral's name for it is "partial 16S ribosomal RNA". It matches the Rfam family "Bacterial small subunit ribosomal RNA", at positions 30 to 318 of the family's 1533-position model. The record is from RNAcentral.